GUAGGGGGCAAGCGUUGUCCGGAUUUAUUGGGCGUAAAGAGCGUGUAGGCGGCCUGAAAGGUCAGCUGUGAAAACUCGAGGCUCAACCUCGAGACGCCGGUUGAAACCAUCUGGCUAGAGUCCGGAAGAGGAGUGUGGAAUUCCCGGUGUAGCGGUGAAAUGCGCAGAUAUCGGGAAGAACACCCGUGGCGAAGGCGGCACUCUGGGACGGUACUGACGCUGAGACGCGAAAGCGUGGGGAGCGAACAGGAUUAGAUACCCUGGUAGUCCACGCCGUAAACGAUGGGUGCUAGGUGUGGGAGGUGUCGACUCCUCCUGUGCCGAAGCUAACGCAUUAAGCACCCCGCCUGGGGAGUACGGCCGCAAGGCUA
This 371-nucleotide ribosomal RNA is filed under the name uncultured bacterium. RNAcentral's name for it is "bacterial SSU rRNA". It matches the Rfam family "Bacterial small subunit ribosomal RNA", at positions 527 to 896 of the family's 1533-position model. The record is from RNAcentral.